CCUACGGGUGGCAGCAGUGGGGAAUAUUGCACAAUGGGGUAAACCCUGAUGCAGCACCGCCGCGUGAGUGAAGACUGCCUUCUUUGUUUAAAGCCCUAUCAGCAGGGAGGAAAAUGACGGUACCUGAUUAGUAAUCCCCGGCAACCUACGUCCCAGCCGCCGCGGGAAUACGUAGGGGGCAAGCGUUAUCCGGAUUUACUGGGUGUAAAGGGAGCGUAGACGGCAGUACAAGUCUGGAGUGAAAGGCGGGGGCUCAACCCCCGGACUGCUCUGGAAACUGUACGGCUGGAGUGCAGGAGAGGUAAGUGGAAUUCCUAGUGUAGCGGUGAAAUGCGUAGAUAUUAGGAGGAACACCAGUGGCGAAGGCGGCUUACUGGACUGUAACUGACGUUGAGGCUCGAAAGCGUGGGGAGCAAACAGGAUUAGAUACCCCAGUAGUC
Molecule: ribosomal RNA, 440 nt
Filed under: uncultured bacterium
Lineage: Bacteria
Description: partial 16S ribosomal RNA
Rfam family: Bacterial small subunit ribosomal RNA
Source: RNAcentral